GCGGACGUGGCAUAAUGGCAGCGCAUUACCCUCCUAAGGUAGAGGUUCCGGGUUCGAGUCCCGGCGUCCGUU
Dermatophagoides pteronyssinus (European house dust mite) is the source of this 72-nucleotide non-coding RNA. The record is from the annotation of a RefSeq genome assembly. Lineage: Eukaryota; Metazoa; Arthropoda; Arachnida; Sarcoptiformes; Pyroglyphidae.